RNAcentral lists this transfer RNA (72 nucleotides) under Camelus bactrianus (Bactrian camel). It matches the Rfam family "tRNA". From Rfam's summary of the family: Transfer RNA (tRNA) molecules are approximately 80 nucleotides in length. Their secondary structure includes four short double-helical elements and three loops (D, anti-codon, and T loops). The record is from Rfam by way of RNAcentral. Lineage: Eukaryota; Metazoa; Chordata; Mammalia; Artiodactyla; Camelidae. RNAcentral also lists the same sequence under 2 other names.
GAGGGUAUAGCUCAGUGGUAGAGCCUGUGCUUAGCAUGCACGAGGUCCUGGGUUCAAUCCCCAGUACCUCCA